RNAcentral lists this ribosomal RNA (274 nucleotides) under uncultured bacterium. RNAcentral describes it as "partial 16S ribosomal RNA". It matches the Rfam family "Bacterial small subunit ribosomal RNA", at positions 523 to 796 of the family's 1533-position model. The record is from RNAcentral.
AUACGGAGGGAGCGAGCGUUGUGCGGAAUUAUUGGGCGUAAAGCGCGUGUAGGCGGCAGGGCAAGUCGGUUGUGAAAUCCCCGGGCUCAACCCGGGAACUGCAUCCGAAACUGCUCCGCUAGAGUCCCGGAGAGGAGAGCAGAAUUCCCAGUGUAGGGGUGAAAUCCGUAGAUAUUGGGAGGAAUACCAGUUGCGAAGGCGGCUCUCUGGACGAUGACUGACGCUGAGACGCGAAAGCGUGGGGAGCAAACAGGAUUAGAAACCCGAGUAGUCC